Molecule: ribosomal RNA, 253 nt
Filed under: uncultured bacterium
Lineage: Bacteria
Description: partial 16S ribosomal RNA
Rfam family: Bacterial small subunit ribosomal RNA
Source: RNAcentral
UACAGAGGAGCCAAGCGUUGUCCGGAUUGACUGGGCGUAAAGCGCACGCAGGCGGUUGCGCGCGUGGGGUGUGAAAUCUGGCCGCUUAACGGCCAGGCGCCAUCCCAUACGGCGCGACUGGAGUGAUGCAGAGGUCGAUGGAAUUGCCGGUGUAGUGGUGAAAUGCGUAGAGAUCCGGAGGAACCCCAGAGGCGAAGGCGGCGCCCUGGCUCGCAACUGACGCUCAGACACGACAGCAUGGGGAGCGAACGGG